Molecule: transfer RNA, 52 nt
Filed under: Tetranychus ludeni (bean spider mite)
Lineage: Eukaryota; Metazoa; Arthropoda; Arachnida; Trombidiformes; Tetranychidae
Description: tRNA-Cys
Source: RNAcentral
UGAUAGAGGAAAACACCCUUUUUUGUUUGCAAUACAAAAAUAUUAUUUUCUA